RNAcentral lists this ribosomal RNA (442 nucleotides) under uncultured soil bacterium. RNAcentral describes it as "bacterial SSU rRNA". It matches the Rfam family "Bacterial small subunit ribosomal RNA", at positions 26 to 518 of the family's 1533-position model. The record is from RNAcentral.
AGAACGAACGCUGGCGGCAUGCCUAAUACAUGCAAGUCGAACGAACACUUCGGUGUUAGUGGCGCACGGGUGCGUAACGCGUGGGAAUCUGCCCUUGGGUUCGGAAUAACAGUUGGAAACGACUGCUAAUACCGGAUGAUGACGAAAGUCCAAAGAUUUAUCGCCCAGGGAUGAGCCCGCGUAGGAUUAGCUAGUUGGUGAGGUAAAGGCUCACCAAGGCGACGAUCCUUAGCUGGUCUGAGAGGAUGAUCAGCCACACUGGGACUGAGACACGGCCCAGACUCCUACGGGAGCAGCAGUAGGGAAUAUGGACAAUGGGCGCAAGCCUGAUCCAGCAAUGCCGCGUGAGUGAUGAAGGCCUUAGGGUGUAAAGCUCUUUACCGAGAUGAUAAUGACAGUAUCGGAGAAUAAGCCCCGGACUAACUCCGUGCCAGCAGCCGAC